UAGAGGAAAAGUUAAAUUUUUAGAAAUUGACUAAAUCUACGUAAUAAAUUCUCGUUUUUCGUUCGUUAUUUACAAAUUUUAAGAUGUCAGAUUGAAAACGAAUUUUUUAACCGACUUCGAAUAAGGAGGAGGUUACUCGAUUCGACAUGUAUAUUUUUUUUUUUGUAUGUAUGUCACCUCCUUAUCAAAAUAAAACAUAGCCUAUGUUACUCGGGGAUAGUGUAGGUGUUUAUUACUGAAAAAAUGGUUAAAAUUGGUUCAGUAGUUCCGGAGAUUAGCUCGGUUAAACAGACGGAUAGACAGACAGAUAAAAAUUUUGAAAAGACGUGUUUGGGCUUUAGCAAGGUACGAAAAGUCAUAUAAGAGCUUUAAAAAAGCAUUAUUUCGUGAUUAUAGACACUUUAAUUUUGUUUAUAUAGAUUCAAACUUCUUCGUAACGUUUAAUAACGCAUUGAAAUGUUGAAUAACUUUUGCAUACAAUAUUUCCAAUUUCUCUUAAGGAUUUUCCAUUAUUCCAAUGAAACAUUAGUAAUUUUCUAACUUCUAGACCUGUUUCGGCGCUUUUCCAGUUUAUGAUCGUGAAUUAUUCAAACGAGGUGAUAUAAAUAGUAAGUGAUGUUUAUUGAAUACUUCUCUUUAUUUUUUUUUAAUUAUGUUGCUUAAAGUCGCAUGCUCCAUUAGGGUAUUAGCAACCACAAUUUGUAAGUUACAUAUCGAUUUACAUAAAUAUCAACAUAAUUAUUAUAUACCAUGUUUAACUUAUAAUUUUAGUCAUUGUCCUAUACGAGAUUGAUUAGUCUUAAUCUUUUUAAAAAAGUUGCAGUGGUUUUGCAAGAUUUGACGUCUCCAAGUUGUUGUUGGAUUUGACUGAGUACCGUUGGCGUCGAUUUCGUAUAAACGCGAAUAUCGAGCGUUCCAGCCUAUGGAAUCGAUUGAAACUGCGUUGAACAAUAGAUAAAGUGAUCAUCGUCCGUUAAAAUCAGAUAGUGCGAUAAAAUAGCCGAUUUCGAGGUGUCGAUAACGCAUCAGGGGGCGCUGUGGGCCACGCUGAGAAACAAUGGAUUAGACAGAAAGCGUGUACCAUCCGCGUGGCGAAGCUAUUCGUCGGCGAUUUUCAAAAAGAAGAGAAAAGAAACGAUUGUGGUCGAGAAAUUUUCCAAACCUUUGCCCUCGAAUCUACCGACUGUUGGGCGUUGGAGGUCUGGUUAUCGACCGCAGGAACCUGUCUUUCCACUAUCUGGUUAUUAAACCAGCUACCUUCUCAGCGGCGGAUAAGUUUUAAAUUUCGGCUAAUUAUUUCCUUGGGCGUUCUGCGAGAAAUUCGCUAAUCAUCGAACCCCAGGGAUUUUAUUCAACAGUAGUGUAUAAUUUUAAACGUCAGUUAUAAAUUGAAUGCAAGUUAACAAUUUAAGAUUUUUAAUGGCUUUCUUUGUAUAUAAUCGUAAUUCAUGCUUAUGACAGUCUGACCAAAUUUGUUAUGAGAACGUUUUCUGCUCUAUGAUUUGUGUACUGUUUGCUAUAUAAGGAAAAUAAUAUGCCUGAACAAAAUGUUGGAAAUAAAAAGCAAAAGUACGUAUAUGUAUACAUAUAACAUAUACAUAUAUGAAUGUACAUAUGUUCGGUGUAGAAAUUAAUUGUGCUUAAGGCCAGGUUACGCCAAUACAACGUGUUUUUUUAAAUUUAAAACAUUUAUUCGUAACUUUUUACAUUAAAUUAGCAAACUUUUAAGCUUUCAACCUGAUCUCCAUUAGAAUAAAUCGAAUGUACAUAACUUUGGUUUCAACCUGAUGUUCCGUAGAAUGUAUCUAUAUGUAUGAACAAAGUUCAGAAUGUAACAAAUUUUGUUUAUUGUUGUUUUUCUAACAGAUUACCAGUGUACUUGAUAGUUAUUACCUGUAGAAAUUAAU
This is a long non-coding RNA of Hylaeus anthracinus, 1907 nucleotides long. RefSeq lists it as uncharacterized. The transcript has 3 exons. Lineage: Eukaryota; Metazoa; Arthropoda; Insecta; Hymenoptera; Colletidae. The record is from RefSeq and is a predicted model, not a curated record.